Unclassified non-coding RNA from Gorilla gorilla gorilla (western lowland gorilla), 102 nucleotides. It matches the Rfam family "Y RNA". Rfam says of the family: Y RNAs are components of the Ro ribonucleoprotein particle (Ro RNP), in association with Ro60 and La proteins. Lineage: Eukaryota; Metazoa; Chordata; Mammalia; Primates; Hominidae. The record is from Ensembl.
GGCUGGUAAGAUUGCAGUGGUAUUUAUAACUCAUUGGUCACAACUAGUUACAGAUUUCUUUGUUCCUUCUCCAUUCCCACUGCUUCACUUGACUAGCCAAAA